RNAcentral lists this ribosomal RNA (304 nucleotides) under uncultured Cupriavidus sp. RNAcentral describes it as "bacterial SSU rRNA". It matches the Rfam family "Bacterial small subunit ribosomal RNA", at positions 30 to 334 of the family's 1533-position model. Lineage: Bacteria; Pseudomonadati; Pseudomonadota; Betaproteobacteria; Burkholderiales; Burkholderiaceae. The record is from RNAcentral.
AUUGAACGCUGGCGGCAUGCCUUACACAUGCAAGUCGAACGGCAGCGCGGACUUCGGUCUGGCGGCGAGUGGCGAACGGGUGAGUAAUACAUCGGAACGUACCCUGUUGGUGGGGGAUAACUAGUCGAAAGAUUAGCUAAUACCGCAUACGACCUGAGGGUGAAAGCGGGGACCGAAAGGCCUCGCGCAGCAGGAGCGGCCGAUGUCUGAUUAGCUAGUUGGUGGGGUAAAGGCCCACCAAGGCGACGAUCAGUAGCUGGUCUGAGAGGACGAUCAGCCACACUGGGACUGAGACACGGCCCAG